UCCACGCCCUAAACGAUGAACACUAGUCGUCGGGAUGCUAGUCAUCUCGGUGAUGCACUUAACAGAUUAAGUGUUCCGCCUGGGGAGUACGGUCGCAAGAUUAAAACUCAAAGGAAUAGACGGAGCAUGGCCCUUAUGUCUGGGGCUACACACGUGCUACAAUGGGGCGUACAGAGAGUUGCGAUACCGCGAGGUGGAGCUAAUCUCAUAAAGCGUCUCUCAGUUCGGAUUGU
This 233-nucleotide ribosomal RNA is filed under the name uncultured bacterium. Its description in RNAcentral is "partial 16S ribosomal RNA". It matches the Rfam family "Bacterial small subunit ribosomal RNA", at positions 794 to 1301 of the family's 1533-position model. The record is from RNAcentral.